ACCUACCGAAGACUAUCAAACUCCGAAUGCCGUCAUCUUAUACUGGGAGUCAGACUGUGGGGGAUAAGAUUCAUAGUCGAAAGGGCAACAGCCCAGAUCGUCAGCUAAGGUCCCUAAAUGUAAGUUAAGCGGUAAAGGAUGUGGGAUUGCACAGACAACCAGGAUGUUGGCUUAGAAGCAGCCACUCAUUCAAAGAGUGCGUAAUAGCUCACUGGUCGAGUGAUCCUGCGCCGAAGAUUUCCGGGGCUAAAACUUAC
RNAcentral lists this ribosomal RNA (257 nucleotides) under Clostridioides difficile. RNAcentral's name for it is "partial 23S ribosomal RNA". It matches the Rfam family "Bacterial large subunit ribosomal RNA", at positions 934 to 1191 of the family's 2925-position model. Lineage: Bacteria; Bacillati; Bacillota; Clostridia; Peptostreptococcales; Peptostreptococcaceae. The record is from RNAcentral.